UACAGAGGCCCCAAGCGUUACUGAGAAUCACUGGGUUUAAAGGGUGCGUAGGUGGCGCGUUAAGUCCGUUGUGAAAUCCCUGGGCUCAACCCAGGAACUGCUUCGGAUACUGGCGCGCUUGAGGCCGGUAGGGGUCACUGGAACUGACGGUGGAGCGGUGAAAUGCGUAGAUAUCGUCAGGAACGCCGAUGGUGAAGACAGGUGACUGGGCCGGAACUGACACUGAGGCACGAAAGCGUGGGGAGCGAACGGG
RNAcentral lists this ribosomal RNA (253 nucleotides) under uncultured bacterium. RNAcentral's name for it is "partial 16S ribosomal RNA". It matches the Rfam family "Bacterial small subunit ribosomal RNA", at positions 524 to 776 of the family's 1533-position model. The record is from RNAcentral.